Molecule: ribosomal RNA, 253 nt
Filed under: uncultured bacterium
Lineage: Bacteria
Description: partial 16S ribosomal RNA
Rfam family: Bacterial small subunit ribosomal RNA
Source: RNAcentral
UACAGAGGUGGCAAGCGUUGUUCGGAAUUACUGGGCGUAAAGGGCGCGUAGGUGGCCUUUUGAGUCAGACGUGAAAUCCCCCGGCUUAACCUGGGAACUGCGUCUGAUACUGGAAGGCUUGAGGUCGGGAGAGGGAUGUGGAAUUCCAGGUGUAGCGGUGAAAUGCGUAGAUAUCUGGAGGAACACCGGUGGCGAAGGCGGCAUCCUGGACCGAAACUGACACUGAGGCGCGAAAGCCAGGGGAGCAAACGGG